CGGGAUGUAGCGCAGCUUGGUUAGCGCGUUAGUCUGGGGGACUAAAGGUCGAGAGUUCAAAUCUCUCCAUCCCGACCA
RNAcentral lists this transfer RNA (78 nucleotides) under Lentisphaerae bacterium ADurb.Bin242. RNAcentral describes it as "tRNA-Pro". It matches the Rfam family "tRNA". Rfam says of the family: Transfer RNA (tRNA) molecules are approximately 80 nucleotides in length. Their secondary structure includes four short double-helical elements and three loops (D, anti-codon, and T loops). The record is from RNAcentral. Lineage: Bacteria; Pseudomonadati; Lentisphaerota.